RNAcentral lists this transfer RNA (73 nucleotides) under Methanobacteriota archaeon. Its description in RNAcentral is "Euryarchaeota archaeon (sediment metagenome) tRNA-Asn". It matches the Rfam family "tRNA". Rfam says of the family: Transfer RNA (tRNA) molecules are approximately 80 nucleotides in length. Their secondary structure includes four short double-helical elements and three loops (D, anti-codon, and T loops). Lineage: Archaea; Methanobacteriati; Methanobacteriota. The record is from RNAcentral.
GCCGCCAUAGCUUAGCUGGUGGAGCGUACGGCUGUUAACCGUAAGGUCAGUGGUUCGAAUCCGCUUGGCGGCG